This 297-nucleotide signal recognition particle RNA is filed under the name Cebus imitator (Panamanian white-faced capuchin). RNAcentral describes it as "Metazoan signal recognition particle RNA (ENSCCAG00000008259.1)". It matches the Rfam family "Metazoan signal recognition particle RNA". From Rfam's summary of the family: The signal recognition particle (SRP) is a universally conserved ribonucleoprotein. It is involved in the co-translational targeting of proteins to membranes. Lineage: Eukaryota; Metazoa; Chordata; Mammalia; Primates; Cebidae. The record is from RNAcentral.
GCAGGGUGUGGUGGUGCGUUCCUGUAGUCCCAGCUACACAGGAGGCUGAGGUGGGAGGAUCGCUUGAGCCCAGGAGUUCUGGGCUGUACUGCGCUAUGCUGAUUGCGUUCCACACUAAGUUCGGAUCAAUAUGGUGACCUCCAGGGAGUGGGGGACCACCAGGCUGCCUAAGGAGGGGUGAACUGGCCCGGGUCGGAAAUGGAGCAGGUCAGAACUCUGGUGCUGAUCAGUAGUGGGAUCAGGCCUGUGACUAGCCACUGCACUCCAGCCUGGGCAACAUAGCGAGACCCCGUCUCU